GUAACGAUAAUUAGUGUAGUAAGGAGGCCCCCCUGUCCUCGAAUUCAAGGAACCUUCCCUCACCUUCUCCCCUCUGUACCUAACACUGGACGAGAAAGGUUGCUGAAAUUGCUUAUUUUAAAGUUGACACAGUCACAAGGUUUGUAACUUUGCUGGGGCUAACAAAAGAAAAACUCAGAUGUGGGUUGUCAACUAGAAGAGGCACGAAGGAACCAGUAUAAAGCUCUCUCUUUAUAUAUCCUUUCUAUUUUUUUUUUCUCAAUAUUUGUUUAAAUGUGCUUUAAUCUAUGUACUUUAUAAUAAACGAUACGAAAAAAAAAAUUUAUGCAAAACUUUUCCAAACAUUUUAUAGCUUUAAAUUCACUUAACUUUUAUAGAACUUAUCAUAUUCAAUUUAUCUAACAGUUGAGAUGUAUAGGUUAAUUGUAACUUAUAACAGAGACUUGAGUUAUUUUAUUUUGUUAUUUUUUUUAGGCUUAAAUAUUUUUUUCAUCUAUUAUAAAUAUCUAAUUUUUGUGUUUAUUUUUUAAUAAAUUUUUAUUUUGCACUGAAUCUCUAAUAAAAUAACAAUUUGAUUUAUUGUCAUCGACAUUUAUUUUUAAUUCUUAAUAAAUUAGUGAAUUUUAUGUUUGUUCCUUGAUAAAUUUUUUUAAUUUAUUAUUAGUUGGGAUUAAAAUAAAAUUCAUUAAUUUACUAAAGAUUCAAAUAAAAUAUCAAUAACCAAAAAGAAAAAUAUUAUUUUAUUAGAAACUCAACACAAAAAGAAUUAUUAGGAAAUAAAUACAAAAAUAAAAUAUUUAUUAGAUAUCGAUAAAAAAAAACAUAUUUGGGUCUUCUUCUUAUAAAUAUUUACGAAAAUACUUAUCUAAACAAUUAGUUGUUCUAUGGCGGCCUGCUGUACUGACCCUCUCUCUCAUGUUCGUAAGCUGAGUUGUUAGUUUGAGUUGCACAAUGAGUUCUGAAACUUGUUUUUAAGGAUAGAAAUACCAGCUUCUUAUCUUUAGUUUCGAAUUGCUCUUACUUAAUAAAUUACCCAUGUUAAAGUUUGUUGCCAGACUGCUAAUUUGAGGCGAACAAUUUGUAAUUUUUUGUUAAAAUGUGGUAUAAUAAACAACAAUAUAUCAUUUAACUUUUGUAUGUAAGGACAAUUUCUGAAUUUAUGCUUCUUAGCUAUAAUUUUUAGUUUUUUUUUACUGUAAUUCUUUCAAAUCAAAUCUCAAAUUUCUAAUCUUUAUAUAUAAAAAGAAGGUAAGUGAGGGUAGUUUUGAAAAAAAAAAACAAAUUAAAGGAAAUAGGUGGGAUAGUUUGGAAAAAAUAAUUUUUUAUUAUAAACUGUAAAAAAAGUUCUUUGCAAUCAUUAGCUGAAAAAGAAUCGUUUUAAAAUUAAUGAGCUGAUUAAAAAAAAAUAAACAUUUUAAAACCGUUGUCAUUGAUAGUGAUUAUCAAUUAAUGGAAAAAAAAACAUCAUGGAUAAAAUUAAAGUAUGAAUAAAAUUAUGUUAUAAAAUUAAUGUGUAUUAAAAAUGUUUCCUUUUCAAUUAAUAUGUAUAAAAUUAAUGGAUAUGAUUUUACUUUCAUAUUUCUUUUAAUUAUCUCUACCUCUAUAGCAUAGAACCAUUGUCAUUUUGCUUUUUCCAUCCACUCAAUUUUGAUCCUGCUGCGAUACAAUGGAAAUUGCAAGAACAUCCUUUUGAAGAAUAAAAUUACACUAAAUUGUACCUAUACAUGUCUCUCGGAUCUGUAAGUAUUUUUUAUAAAAUCAAGUUUUUUUUCCAGGAUUUGUAAGUAUUUUUUAUAAAAUUAAGUUUUUUAUUUUAAAUAUUGCUUGUGAUAUUAAAAUCAAAUGCUUGCCAUACGGUUGAGCCCAUUGAGCUAUGCAAGAAGAAUGAGUGUGACAAGAUGAAAUUAAAGGUGUAAACUUAUAUAUGAAAAUGAUUGGAGUAUUGAUUAAUAUUGAUUAUUUUAUUCUAGCUCCAUUUGCAAUUCAAUACUUCCAACUAAUAAAGCUCUGUUUGUUUGAGUUGCAAGUCCUGAAAUUCAAAUUCAACGCCAAAUAUUUCUAGUUAAGAUGAGAAUAUUAAACUAUAAUCUUAGUUUUAGCUACUCUCUCUUUCGUAAGUUAGUACAUAUAUACCUCGGGGCUCUUUAAUUUUAUUUUCAUGAUUAGGUUAUAGUACCAUCAUGUGGUAUUCAUUUGUUCAUGUAGAUAAGUAAUCUUAUUUUGGCUUAAAUUAACAGCAAAAACCUUACAAAUUAAGGGUAUGAGCAAGCACUAAAAAUGGCUUCAAUCAUUGGGUUAGCAAUGUAUAUUCCUAUUUUAUCUAUUAUUUCUUCUACGAAAAGCUGCAAGAGAUUGUUAGAAGGAAAAUUUGAUGUCACAUGUAAAAUUUUUGUCUCUAUGAUAGUUAGUUUUAUUAGGUUUUUUUAUCGGCAACCUUAUUUCCAUUUUAUUUAAGGUUUGAAAUAUGAAAGAUCACACUAGAUGGGAGGGAUUGAAUAGUGUGUUAAUCAAAGGUAUAAGCUUUUUACUCAAUAGAAGAUAGGAUAAAUAGUGGUAUAAAAGAUAUGAACGGUGUCAUCAAGUGAUUGAAAAAUAGUUUCUCCUAAAACAAUGGAUUGUCCUCUAGUGAGUGAUAAAGUGCGUCAAAAAGGACUUAAAGAAAUACAAGUUAAAGCUUAAGAGAGAAGUAGAAAUACUCAGUUUAUAUUGGUUCAAUCAAAUUGAGCAACAUCCAAUUCUCCUUCACAAACUGAAAAAGGUUGCACUAAUCAGAGUGAUUACAAAACAAGUAUUCUAACUCGCCACUCCUGUCUAUACAAGUAUUCUCAAGGCCACUUCUGGACACUUCUUAGAUUCCCCCUGAAUCUAAGAACUCACAAGUCUUUUUUUGUCACUAAGUCACUCCUGACUUUUACAAACAGAUUAUUUGAUGGAAUAAAAAGACUCCCACACUCAAAAAGUGGACAAACAAUAAGCUCGAAUACACAAGAUAACUUUGCUAAGCAAUGGAUUGAACUAUUUCUAGUGCUAAGAUUAUCGUCCAAUGACUACUAAGGAAUGUUGUUUUCACUUUGUUACUUCUUUCUCGUAUUUCACUUCUCUGCUUCACUUCCAUGAUUUGAGUCCCUAUUUAUAGACUUCAGUCAAGUGUCUGUUGUGGAAUUUGUGCCUUCUUUCUUGAUAUGAUCGUUGUCUCAUAUCUUGCUGCAGGGCCAUGUGAAGCGCUUUGGUUGGAGAGAUAAAAAGCAAAAUACAGAUAGUUGAUGUUGUCUUCUGCCAUGUCGAAAGUGACCUUUGCAAAUAUACCUUUGUUCAUUCCUUGGUUUUUGUCCUUGCCUUAAAUUUAAAUGUUAGCAUUUCAAACAUAAGAGAGGCAAAAAGAAACAGAC
RNAcentral lists this long non-coding RNA (3389 nucleotides) under Glycine max (soybean). Its description in RNAcentral is "long non-coding RNA (GMAX_LNC004316)". Lineage: Eukaryota; Viridiplantae; Streptophyta; Magnoliopsida; Fabales; Fabaceae. The record is from RNAcentral.